GACGAACGCUGGCGGCGUGCCUAAUACAUGCAAGUCGAGCGAAGUUUUUCUGGUGCUUGCCCUAGAAAAACUUAGCGGCGAACGGGUGAGUAACGCGUAAAGAACCUGCCUCAUAGACUGGGACAACUAUUGGAAACGAUAGCUAAUACCGGAUAACAGUAUUUCUCGCAUGAGAGAUAUUUAAAAGUUGGUUAUGCUAACACUAUGAGAUGGCUUUGCGGUGCAUUAGCUAGUUGGUGGGGUAAAGGCCCACCAAGGCGACGAUGCAUAGCCGACCUGAGAGGGUGAUCGGCCACACUGGGACUGAGACACGGCCCAGACUCCUACGGGAGGCAGCAGUAGGGAAUCUUCCGCAAUGGGCGAAAGCCUGACGGAGCAACGCCGCGUGAGUGAAGAAGGAUUUCGGUUCGUAAAGCUCUGUUGUUAGGGAAGAGUGGAUAUGUAGUAACUAUACAUGUAAGAGACGGUACCUAACCAGAAAGCCACGGCUAACUACGUG
Molecule: ribosomal RNA, 499 nt
Filed under: uncultured bacterium
Lineage: Bacteria
Description: partial 16S ribosomal RNA
Rfam family: Bacterial small subunit ribosomal RNA
Source: RNAcentral